Molecule: ribosomal RNA, 253 nt
Filed under: uncultured bacterium
Lineage: Bacteria
Description: partial 16S ribosomal RNA
Rfam family: Bacterial small subunit ribosomal RNA
Source: RNAcentral
UACGAAGGGGGCUAGCGUUGUUCGGAAUCACUGGGCGUAAAGGGCGCGUAGGCGGCUAGAUAAGUCGGGGGUGAAAGCCUGUGGCUCAACCACAGAAUUGCCUUCGAUACUGUCUGGCUUGAGACCGGAAGAGGUUAGUGGAACUGCGAGUGUAGAGGUGAAAUUCGUAGAUAUUCGCAAGAACACCAGUGGCGAAGGCGGCUGACUGGUCCGGUUCUGACGCUGAGGCGCGAAAGCGUGGGGAGCAAACAGG